This 75-nucleotide transfer RNA is filed under the name Candidatus Nealsonbacteria bacterium CG07_land_8_20_14_0_80_40_10. Its description in RNAcentral is "tRNA-Ile". It matches the Rfam family "tRNA". Rfam says of the family: Transfer RNA (tRNA) molecules are approximately 80 nucleotides in length. Their secondary structure includes four short double-helical elements and three loops (D, anti-codon, and T loops). Further hydrogen bonds mediate the characteristic L-shaped molecular structure. tRNAs have two regions of fundamental functional importance: the anti-codon, which is responsible for specific mRNA codon recognition, and the 3' end, to which the tRNAs corresponding amino acid is attached (by aminoacyl-tRNA synthetases). tRNAs cope with the degeneracy of the genetic code in two manners: having more than one tRNA (with a specific anti-codon) for a particular amino acid; and 'wobble' base-pairing, i.e. permitting non-standard base-pairing at the 3rd anti-codon position. Lineage: Bacteria; Candidatus Nealsoniibacteriota. RNAcentral also lists the same sequence under 2 other names. The record is from RNAcentral.
GGGCGGCUAGCUCAGUGGUAGAGCGCAUCUCUGAUAAAGAUGAGGUCGAUGGUCCGAUCCCAUCGCCGCCCACCA